GAGCAUUACUUCCUGUUACGCCUUCACGUCUAACAUCCGCAGUACAGUUUAAAUACAGCGUUUUGCAUCACCGCUACCAUAAAUUAAUUGAUCCUUUAUCUGGUUUUAAUUAAACUAAAGCACUCAUCGAUACUAUGAUGUUUUUAAAUCUAAUACUACUUUUAUUUUUAUAUUGGAGAACAAAUAUCUAUAAAUGUGAUGAUGUUCAUCAGAAUCCCACGUUCAUCAUAAAACGUCCAGGAGACCCUGCAGAAAUACAAUGCGAACACACUCGUACAAGCUCAGACUACAUGUACUGGUAUCGACAACGGUCGGAACGGAGAAUGGAAUUAAUCGUGUUUGCAGUAACUGGUGGCCAACCACAGUCUGAAAAAGAAGCCGAGAAGAAACGAUACACGAUUGUAAAAAGUGAAACUCUUCGGGGGUCUUUCGAAAUUAAAUCACUGCAGCUUGAUGAUACGGCGGUGUACUUUUGCGCAGUUAGUAAACACAGUGAAAAAAUAUUAUCGCAGCGCCUGUCAAGAAUUCUUUAGAUUAUACGCUCCAAAGAACUGCAAUUUCAGCAACUGACAAACAUCUAUACAUACUUAUCAAAAAUGGACUGACAUCAUUUACUGGCCCACCACAAGCAGCCAGACACCCACUAACGCAUAUCAGAACUUAAGAAUGUAAUAUAUU
Molecule: non-coding RNA, 678 nt
Organism: Polypterus senegalus (gray bichir)
Lineage: Eukaryota; Metazoa; Chordata; Cladistia; Polypteriformes; Polypteridae
Source: the annotation of a RefSeq genome assembly